CAUGCAGAAUGAAACAUGACUCAAGUGUCAACUCCUGAAAGUCUGUAUCUUGUUAGAUCCCAAGUUCACAAGGAUGUGCAAGUGUUAGGAAGAAAAGAAACCAAGAGAAAGAGAGAAGAAACAGAGGAUUUGACAGAAGAGAAAGAGAGAUAAGGAAGGCGAUUAUUAUUUUUUGAGGUAGAAAAAGAAAGAAGAAUCUUGACUGUAUUCAAUUGCAUAAAAUCUAGGGAUAAAUUACAACCAUGGUACCUGAACUUAAGGUGUAUAAUAAAAAAG
Molecule: unclassified non-coding RNA, 276 nt
Filed under: Hevea brasiliensis (rubber tree)
Lineage: Eukaryota; Viridiplantae; Streptophyta; Magnoliopsida; Malpighiales; Euphorbiaceae
Source: RNAcentral